ACGGUAGCUAAUACCGCAUAACCUCGUAAGAGCAAAGUGGGGGACCUUCGGGCCUCACGCUAUCGGAUGUGCCCAGAUGGGAUUAGCUAGUAGGUGGGGUAAUGGCUCACCUAGGCGACGAUCCCUAGCUGGUCUGAGAGGAUGACCAGCCACACUGGAACUGAGACACGGUCCACACUCCUACGGGAGGCAGCAGUGGGGAAUAUUGCACAAUGGGCGCAAGCCUGAUGCAGCCAUGCCGCGUGUAUGAAGAAGGCCUUCGGGUUGUAAAGUACUUUCAGCGGGGAGGAAGGCGAUGAGGUUAAUAACCUUGUCGAUUGACGUUACCCGCAGAAGAAGCACCGGCUAACUCCGUGCCAGCAGCCGCGGUAAUACGGAGGGUGCAAGCGUUAAUCGGAAUUACUGGGCGUAAAGCGCACGCAGG
RNAcentral lists this ribosomal RNA (424 nucleotides) under Erwinia sp. J57. RNAcentral describes it as "bacterial SSU rRNA". It matches the Rfam family "Bacterial small subunit ribosomal RNA", at positions 156 to 575 of the family's 1533-position model. Lineage: Bacteria; Pseudomonadati; Pseudomonadota; Gammaproteobacteria; Enterobacterales; Erwiniaceae. The record is from RNAcentral.